GUGACGGAGUAUUGAAAGCACCGCGAACUGACGGAAUAGUUCGUUGAAGUAUGUAGCUAUAGAACCAGAUUAAGAGUUAGGUUUUGGCAAAAUACGAUAGUACCACAAAGCUUCGGCAGCGUGGAUAGUGUGCCUAAAAGCUUCCAAGAAAAACCUCUAAGCUUCAGAUUAUAAGAACCCGUACCGUAAACCGACACAGGUAGUUGGGAUGAGAAUUCUAAGGUGCUCGAGAGAUUCAUGGCUAAGGAACUAGGCAAAAUAGACCUGUAACUUCGG
Molecule: ribosomal RNA, 276 nt
Filed under: Minutocellus polymorphus
Lineage: Eukaryota; Bacillariophyta; Thalassiosirophyceae; Cymatosirales; Cymatosiraceae
Description: partial Bacterial large subunit ribosomal RNA
Rfam family: Bacterial large subunit ribosomal RNA
Source: RNAcentral